This 506-nucleotide ribosomal RNA is filed under the name uncultured bacterium. RNAcentral describes it as "partial 16S ribosomal RNA". It matches the Rfam family "Bacterial small subunit ribosomal RNA", at positions 29 to 523 of the family's 1533-position model. The record is from RNAcentral.
AGUGAACGCUGGCGGCAGGCCUAACACAUGCAAGUCGAACGGCAGCACAGGAGAGCUUGCUCUCUGGGUGGCGAGUGGCGGACGGGUGAGGAAUAUAUCGGAAUCUACCCUUUCGUGGGGGAUAACGUAGGGAAACUUACGCUAAUACCGCAUACGAACUGAGGUUGAAAGCGGCGGACCGCAGGGCGUCGCGCGGAUGGAUGAGCCGAUAUCCGAUUAGCUAGUUGGCGGGGUAAAGGCCCACCAAGGCGACGAUCGGUAGCUGGUCUGAGAGGAGGAUCAGCCACACUGGAACUGAGACACGGUCCAGACUCCUACGGGAGGCAGCAGUGGGGAAUAUUGGACAAUGGGCGCAAGCCUGAUCCAGCCAUGCCGCGUGUGUGAAGAAGGCCUUCGGGUUGUAAAGCACUUUUGUUGGGAGAGAAAAGCGGUCGGUUAAUACCCGGUCGUUCUGACGGUACCCAAAGAAUAAGCACCGGCUAACUUCGUGCCAGCAGCCGCGGUAA